AACUAGUUUUUAAUAAAAAUUUUCUCGAAUUUUGGAGGGCUAAGAAUUAAUAUAUUUUAAUGUGGAAUAAUUAUUUAUAAUUAAUUUUUUGUAAUUAGACGUUAGUCGAUCCUUAUGAUAUCUAGUUUCCUGAGAAAUUAAUUUAAUUAACCGGAGUGAAUUAAUUUUUAUUUAAGAAUUAAAUUUUUAUGCUUGGAAUAUGCAGAGGGAAAAGCUUUUGUGUAUAUUUUUAUAAUAGUUUUUGUCUUAAUAAUUUAUAGGAUUAGAAGUUUCCAUUUUUAGUGUGUUUUUACUAGAUUUUAAGGGUAGAUAAUUUUUUUUUGUUUAAGUAUUUUAUCAGGAUGAAAUCUUUAAUAUUGGAGUUUUGGAAAAAUGAUGAAAUUAGUAGAGUGGAAUGUAUAAGAACUUAAAAUUAUUAGAAAUUAUUUUUAGGAACUAGGCAAAUUUCUUUCCGCCUGUUUAAUAAAAACAUGGCUUUUUGAUAAUAAUAUAAGGUCGGGCCUGCCCAAUGAUAAUUUAAAUGGCUGCGGUAUAUUGACCGUGCAAAGGUAGCAUAAUCAUUAGUUUUUUUAUUGAAAGCUGGAAUGAAGGGUUUAACGAGAAAGAAGCUGUCUUAAUUUAAUUAUUUGAAUUUUAUAUUUAAGUGAGAAAGCUUAAAUUAAUUUGAGGGACGAGAAGACCCUAUAGAAUUUAAUAAUUUAAUUAUUUCAGGAGUUUGGGGUAUGAAAAUUGAUGUAAUAAGAAUUAAUUUGUUGGGGUGAUGGGAAAAUUUAAAUAACUUUUUUUGAUUUAUUUUCAUUGAUAUAUGAUUAAAUGAUCCAUUAAAAGUGAUUAUAAGAAAAAAUUACCUUAGGGAUAACAGCGUUAUUAGUCUGGAGAGCUCAAAUCGAUAGACUAGAUUGCGACCUCGAUGUUGGAUUAAAAUUGACUUUUGGUGGAGAGACUAGAAAGUUAAGUCUGUUCGACUUUUAAAAUUUU
Molecule: ribosomal RNA, 978 nt
Filed under: Lucanus ferriei
Lineage: Eukaryota; Metazoa; Arthropoda; Insecta; Coleoptera; Lucanidae
Description: partial 16S ribosomal RNA
Rfam family: Archaeal large subunit ribosomal RNA (bases 448-605)
Source: RNAcentral